RNAcentral lists this ribosomal RNA (227 nucleotides) under Sphingomonadales bacterium. RNAcentral describes it as "partial 23S ribosomal RNA". It matches the Rfam family "Bacterial large subunit ribosomal RNA", at positions 2682 to 2925 of the family's 2925-position model. The record is from RNAcentral. Lineage: Bacteria; Pseudomonadati; Pseudomonadota; Alphaproteobacteria; Sphingomonadales.
UACGAGAGGACCGGGUUGAACAUACCUCUGGUGUACCUGUCGUUCCGCCAGGAGCGCAGCAGGGUAGCUAUGUAUGGACGGGAUAACCGCUGAAAGCAUCUAAGCGGGAAGCCUCCCUCGAGAUAAGAUUUCUUAGGACGGUCGGAGACCACGACCUUGAUAGAUCGGAUGUGGAAGCGCGGUAACGUGUGGAGCUAACCGAUACUAAUUGUCCUAUUCGCGCUUGA